GACGAACGCUGGCGGCGUGCCUAACACAUGCAAGUCGAGCGAGUGAAUCUCCUUCGGGAGUGAAGCUAGCGGCGGACGGGUGAGUAACACGUGGGCAACCUGCCUCAUAGAGGGGAAUAGCCUUCCGAAAGGAAGAUUAAUACCGCAUAAGAUUGUAGCUUCGCAUGAAGUAGCAAUUAAAGGAGCAAAUCCGCUAUGAGAUGGGCCCGCGGCGCAUUAGCUAGUUGGUGAGGUAACGGCUCACCAAGGCGACGAUGCGUAGCCGACCUGAGAGGUGAUCGGCCACAUUGGGACGGAGACACGGCCCAGACUCCUACGGGAGGCAGCAGUGGGGAAUAUUGCACAAUGGGGGAAACCCUGAUGCAGCAACGCGCGUGAGUGAUGACGG
RNAcentral lists this ribosomal RNA (388 nucleotides) under uncultured bacterium. Its description in RNAcentral is "bacterial SSU rRNA". It matches the Rfam family "Bacterial small subunit ribosomal RNA", at positions 28 to 414 of the family's 1533-position model. The record is from RNAcentral.